Molecule: ribosomal RNA, 497 nt
Filed under: uncultured bacterium
Lineage: Bacteria
Description: partial 16S ribosomal RNA
Rfam family: Bacterial small subunit ribosomal RNA
Source: RNAcentral
GACGAACGCUGGCGGCGUGCCUAAUACAUGCAAGUUGAGCGCUUAAGGUUGGUACUUGUUCCAACUGGAUGAACAGCGAACGUGUGAGUAAAGCGUGGGGAAUCUGCCUUUGAGCGGAGGACAACAUAUUGGAACGAAUGCUAAUACCGCAUAAAAACUUUAAACACAAGGUUUAAGAUUGAAAGAGGCAAUUGCAUCACUCAAAGAUGAUCCCGCUUUGUAUUAGGUAGUUGGUGAGGUAAUCGCUCACCAAGACGAGGAUAGAUAGCCGACCUGAGAGGGGGGUAGGCCACAUUGGGACGGAGACGCGGACCAAAGUCCUACGGGAGGAAGCAGUCGGGAAUCUUAGGCAGCAGACGAAAGUCUGACAGAACAAGGCCGAGCGAGAGACGAAGGUUCUGGGUGCGUAAAAACGUGUUUGUAGAGGAGAACGUCGGUGAGCGGGGAAAGCUCAUCAAGUGACGGUAACUACACAGAAAGCACCGGCUAACUACGUG